GGGCUCACACAAGCGGUGGAGGAUGUGGCUUAAUUCGAGGCUACGCGAAGAACCUUAUCCUAGUCUUGACAUGCUUGGGAACCUGCCUGAAAGGGCGGGGUGCCUUCGGGAACCCUUGCACAGGUGCUGCAUGGCUGUCGUCAGCUCGUGUCGUGAGAUGUCGGGUUAAGUCCCUUAACGAGCGAAACCCCUGUCUCUAGUUGCCAGCGAGUAAUGUCGGGGACUCUAGAGAGACUGCCGGUGUUAAACCGGAGGAAGGUGGGGAUGACGUCAAGUCCUCAUGGCCCUUAUGACUAGGGCUGCACACGUCCUACAAUGCGUCGUACAAAGGGAAGCAAACCCGCGAGGGGGAGCAAACCUCAAAAAGCGGCGCUCAGUUCGGAUUGCAGGCUGCAACUCGCCUGCAUGAAGCUGGAAUCGCUAGUAAUCGCGGGUCAGCAUACCGCGGUGAAUGUGUUCCUGAGCCUU
This 468-nucleotide ribosomal RNA is filed under the name uncultured bacterium. Its description in RNAcentral is "bacterial SSU rRNA". It matches the Rfam family "Bacterial small subunit ribosomal RNA", at positions 917 to 1382 of the family's 1533-position model. The record is from RNAcentral.